ACUCCUACGGGAGGCAGCAGUGGGGAAUAUUGCACAAUGGGGGAAACCCUGAUGCAGCCAUGCCGCGUGUGUGAAGAAGGCCUUGGGUUGUAAAGCACUUUCAGUAGGGAGGAAGGUAGUGUAGUUAACACCUGCAUUAUUUGACGUUACCUACAGAAGAAGCACCGGCUAACUCCGUGCCAGCAGCCGCGGUAAUACGGAGGGUGCGAGCGUUAAUCGGAAUUACUGGGCGUAAAGCGCAUGCAGGCGGCCUGUUAAGUCAGAUGUGAAAGCCCGGGGCUUAACCUCGGAAUUGCAUUUGAAACUGGCAGGCUAGAGUCUUGUAGAGGGGUAGAAUUUCAGGUGUAGCGGUGAAAUGCGUAGAGAUCUGAAGGAAUACCAGUGGCGAAGGCGGCCCCCUGGACAAAGACUGACGCUCAGAUGCGAAAGCGUGGGAGCAAACAGGAUUAGAUACCCCUGGUAGCGACUGA
Molecule: ribosomal RNA, 470 nt
Filed under: uncultured bacterium
Lineage: Bacteria
Description: bacterial SSU rRNA
Rfam family: Bacterial small subunit ribosomal RNA
Source: RNAcentral